RNAcentral lists this ribosomal RNA (465 nucleotides) under uncultured bacterium. RNAcentral's name for it is "partial 16S ribosomal RNA". It matches the Rfam family "Bacterial small subunit ribosomal RNA", at positions 28 to 507 of the family's 1533-position model. The record is from RNAcentral.
GACGAACGCUGGCGGCAUGCUUAACACAUGCAAGUCGAACGGAAAGGCCCUGCUUGCAGGGUACUCGAGUGGCGAACGGGUGAGUAACACGUGGGUGAUCUGCCCUGCACUUCGGGAUAAGCCUGGGAAACUGGGUCUAAUACCGGAUAGGAGCCAUUUUUAGUGUGAUGGUUGGAAAGUUUUUUCGGUGUAGGAUGAGCUCGCGGCCUAUCAGCUUGUUGGUGGGGUAAUGGCCUACCAAGGCGGCGACGGGUAGCCGGCCUGAGAGGGUGGACGGCCACAUUGGGACUGAGAUACGGCCCAGACUCCUACGGGAGGCAGCAGUGGGGAAUAUUGCACAAGGGGCGCAAGCCUGAUGCAGCGACGCCGCGUGGGGGAUGACGGCCUUCGGGUUGUAAACUCCUUUCGCUAGGGACGAAGCUUUUUGUGACGGUACCUAGAUAAGAAGCACCGGCUAACUACGUG